Molecule: ribosomal RNA, 497 nt
Filed under: uncultured bacterium
Lineage: Bacteria
Description: partial 16S ribosomal RNA
Rfam family: Bacterial small subunit ribosomal RNA
Source: RNAcentral
GAUGAACGCUGGCGGCGUGCCUAAUACAUGCAAGUCGAGCGAACGGACGAGAAGCUUGCUUUUCUGAUGUUAGCGGCGGACGGGUGAGUAACACGUGGAUAACCUACCUAUAAGACUGGGAUAACUUCGGGAAACCGGAGCUAAUACCGGAUAAUAUUUUGAACCGCAUGGUUCAAAAGUGAAAGACGGUCUUGCUGUCACUUAUAGAUGGAUCCGCGCUGCAUUAGCUAGUUGGUAAGGUAACGGCUUACCAAGGCAACGAUGCAUAGCCGACCUGAGAGGGUGAUCGGCCACACUGGAACUGAGACACGGUCCAGACUCCUACGGGAGGCAGCAGUAGGGAAUCUUCCGCAAAGGGCGAAAGCCUGACGGAGCAACGCCGCGUGGGUGAUGAAGGUCUUCGGAUCGUAAAACUCUGUUAUUAGGGAAGAACAUAUGUGUAAGUAACUGUGCACAUCUUGACGGUACCUAAUCAGAAAGCCACGGCUAACUACGUG